CAGUAGCCGCGGUAAUACGGAGGGGGCUAGCGUUGUUCGGAAUUACUGGGCGUAAAGCGCACGUAGGCGGUUUUGUAAGUCAGAGGUGAAAGCCCGGAGCUCAACUCCGGAACUGCCUUUGAGACUGCAUCACUUGAACGUCGGAGAGGUGAGUGGAAUUCCGAGUGUAGAGGUGAAAUUCGUAGAUAUUCGGAAGAACACCAGUGGCGAAGGCGGCUCACUGGACGACUGUUGACGCUGAGGUGCGAAAGCGUGGGGAGCAAACAGGAUUAGAUACCCCAGUAGUCCCUGUCUCUUAUAC
Molecule: ribosomal RNA, 301 nt
Filed under: uncultured bacterium
Lineage: Bacteria
Description: partial 16S ribosomal RNA
Rfam family: Bacterial small subunit ribosomal RNA
Source: RNAcentral